AACCACCCCUUAAGAUGAGAACUGAGAACUAAUCUUAACCGUAGAUCAAAUUUAUCCAACCGCCGACAAUCUACCCGACCAACCCAAAAGGGUAAUUUGGUGAUUUUGUAGCGCUGACUGACCUCCUCUCUCAACCCAAUUUUCAGAAUUUGUUUCUCUCUCCUCGUUCAAUUUUCUCUCUCCUAUUGGAAAUCAUCUCUCUGCGAUUUUUCACCCUCUUCAAGUGCAACAUUAUUGGCUGAUGUAGGUGUUGCACAGAUUGGUUGAUGUCGCCGGUGGUUGCAGAGCUGCUGUUGCAGGUCAGUCGAGGGUGGUAUGCUGCCAGUGAUUGACUUUUGGGCAGUUGUUCUGCUGUGUUUGGCUGCUCUUUAGCAGUGUUGUGUGUGUGGUGUUGCUGCAAGGGGGUAGUGGUUGUCGUUGCUUGUUGUUUCGGAUUUAGUUUACUAUCGGAGUAACUGCUAGCCAAACUUGAAGAUCGGCUGCACAAUGCAUCAGCUAGAAUUUACAUGUAUAUCUUCAAUGACAGUAAAUACAUGUUUAUAAAGGAUUCAGACUUGCCUGAUAACCCAACUCUGUUCAUUUCCGAGAAAGAGAGUAGCAGGGUAACUUCUGUCCGUGCUGCAAGCAACAACUCCAAUAGACCAAGGACUGAAGGAUACCACAGAGAUAGGGUCAGGCCCUUUGUUCCCUGCUACUUGUACCACAAAACCCCUGCUCUUCUUGCGAGUGUUGUGAAGAUUUCAAAUACAUCAAGGAAUGCUAUUGUGUCUUCUCCUGGUUCAUCUGGUUCUACCGAAAAUUUCAGGAUGUCAACUCCAUCUUUCACUGCCUGAAAUAAUCAAAGUUUGUAAGGCUCAUAGAUUAUACAAUAAGAAUAUAGCACCCAACUACACCCAAGCAGUCAGACCCCAUUCCUGAUCAGAAUCGCACACAACUUGCAAGCACUUGGAAAUAGCUUCACUGAAUGCAGGCCAGAACACUGCAACAACAGUAAACUGUGAGCAUCUUACGGGCUCUAUCAUGGUGGCGGUGAGAACCCGAAUUGAGAAACCAGAAAGCAAAGUCAUGGGAGGGAGAUACCCAAGAUGACAAGAUAUCACCAAUAACGAGAGAGGAUCCCAAGGAUACAUUGUUGUAACUUUCAGGAGAGGUACGAAACACAGUAGAAAACAAAAACAGACAUAAUGAGAUAACGAGGAUGAUAAUGCCAUGGUAAAAGUGUUUUUUUCAGCAUAAGAAAAUAUAGAAAAAAGUGUUUCAGCCCUGCUUGCUUCAAAAUUAGAGUUGAAGCAGCCCUUUGCAGUGCUCCUAUCUGAUUACAACAGGCUUCUAAUGUUAAUAAUAGUCUACAAGUAGAGGAAAAUAUACCUUCUAACCAGGUAAACUGUGAAACUCUGGCUUAAAUCAACUGUCCAUCCUAUUAUCCUAU
This is a long non-coding RNA of Spinacia oleracea (spinach), 1429 nucleotides long. RefSeq lists it as uncharacterized. The transcript is spliced from 4 exons. NCBI's taxonomy places the organism in Eukaryota, Viridiplantae, Streptophyta, Magnoliopsida, Caryophyllales, Amaranthaceae. The record is from RefSeq and is a predicted model, not a curated record.